UGGGGAAUUUUGGACAAUGGACGCAAGUCUGAUCCAGCAAUGCCGCGUGCAGGAUGAAGGCCUUCGGGUUGUAAACUGCUUUUGUACGGAGCGAAAAGGCUCUACCUAAUACGUGGGGCUAAUGACGGUACCGUAAGAAUAAGCACCGGCUAACUACGUGCCAGCAGCCGCGGUAAUACGUAGGGUGCAAGCGUUAAUCGGAAUUACUGGGCGUAAAGCGUGCGCAGGCGGUUUUGUAAGACAGAGGUGAAAUCCCCGGGCUUAACCUGGGAACUGCCUUUGUGACUGCAAGGCUGGAGUACGGCAGAGGGGGAUGGAAUUCCGCGUGUAGCAGUGAAAUGCGUAGAUAUGCGGAGGAACACCGAUGGCGAAGGCAGUCCCCUGGGCCUGUACUGACGCU
Molecule: ribosomal RNA, 400 nt
Filed under: uncultured bacterium
Lineage: Bacteria
Description: bacterial SSU rRNA
Rfam family: Bacterial small subunit ribosomal RNA
Source: RNAcentral